RNAcentral lists this long non-coding RNA (453 nucleotides) under Apteryx owenii (little spotted kiwi). Its description in RNAcentral is "lncRNA (ENSAOWG00000010662.1)". The record is from RNAcentral. Lineage: Eukaryota; Metazoa; Chordata; Aves; Apterygiformes; Apterygidae.
GGCCGCGGAGGGCGGUGGCCUGGCCCGGCCCGCGUGCGCAGCAGGCCCCGGCUGCCCCGAAACCGCCGCUUUUUGGCACCAAGGUGGAAGAGCAGCCAGAGAGGAAGCUUGGAGGGGCCUGAGCGCUGGCGGGCCUCGGUAAAGCCGUGUACAAAAUGGAACCUCAUCACCCUUCAUUUAACCUCGCAGCUCCGCAGUGGAGGAGAAAAAUGAGAACAGUGUCUAUUUUAGAGACGAGCGAGUUGAGUCCUAGAGUCAGUGUCAUCACCUGAAAGCAAAAUCAGAGAGAUUCCUUACAGCUGAUGAAGAGCCAGCUCUUCACCAAAUGAGCUCCAUAGUCUCCAAAGCCUCCAUUUUGAAGACUCAUCUGCCCAGGGAGCAAGGGUCUCCACUGGCUCCACACAGUGCAAUUAACCACCUCAGUUCAAAGUAAAUUCCUCAAACAAAUCUUUG